GCUCAGAUUGAACGCUGGCGGCAGGCCUAACACAUGCAAGUCGAGCGGCAGCACGGGUACUUGUACCUGGUGGCGAGCGGCGGACGGGUGAGUAAUGCCUAGGAAUCUGCCUGGUAGUGGGGGAUAACGUCCGGAAACGGGCGCUAAUACCGCAUACGUCCUACGGGAGAAAGUGGGGGAUCUUCGGACCUCACGCUAUCAGAUGAGCCUAGGUCGGAUUAGCUAGUUGGUGAGGUAAUGGCUCACCAAGGCGACGAUCCGUAACUGGUCUGAGAGGAUGAUCAGUCACACUGGAACUGAGACACGGUCCAGACUCCUACGGGAGGCAGCAGUGGGGAAUAUUGGACAAUGGGCGAAAGCCUGAUCCAGCCAUGCCGCGUGUGUGAAGAAGGUCUUCGGAUUGUAAAGCACUUUAAGUUGGGAGGAAGGGUACUUACCUAAUACGUGAGUAUUUUGACGUUACCGACAGAAUAAGCACCGGCUAACUCUGUGCCAGCAGCCGCGGUAAUACAGAGGGUGCAAGCGUUAAUCGGAAUUACUGGGCGUAAAGCGCGCGUAGGUGGUUUGUUAAGUUGGAUGUGAAAGCCCCGGGCUCAACCUGGGAACUGCAUCCAAAACUGGCAAGCUAGAGUAUGGUAGAGGGUGGUGGAAUUUCCUGUGUAGCGGUGAAAUGCGUAGAUAUAGGAAGGAACACCAGUGGCGAAGGCGACCACCUGGACUGAUACUGACACUGAGGUGCGAAAGCGUGGGGAGCAAACAGGAUUAGAUACCCUGGUAGUCCACGCCGUAAACGAUGUCAACUAGCCGUUGGGAGCCUUGAGCUCUUAGUGGCGCAGCUAACGCAUUAA
This 848-nucleotide ribosomal RNA is filed under the name Pseudomonas sp. AKB-2008-HE70. RNAcentral's name for it is "bacterial SSU rRNA". It matches the Rfam family "Bacterial small subunit ribosomal RNA", at positions 22 to 863 of the family's 1533-position model. The record is from RNAcentral. Lineage: Bacteria; Pseudomonadati; Pseudomonadota; Gammaproteobacteria; Pseudomonadales; Pseudomonadaceae.